This 1164-nucleotide ribosomal RNA is filed under the name uncultured marine bacterium. Its description in RNAcentral is "partial 16S ribosomal RNA". The stretch from base 1 to 811 matches the Rfam family "Bacterial small subunit ribosomal RNA", at positions 10 to 873 of the family's 1533-position model. The record is from RNAcentral.
AGGUUGAUCCGGUCUCACGACGAACCCUACAUGCCCACCUAACACAUGCAAGUCCCCCCGGCAGGUUAACUACCUUUACUUGUUUGGUGGCCACCGGCGCAGUGACGCGUAACUGUGAUGCAACCUACCCAGUACUGAGGGAUAGCCCUUCUAAUUUCCGAUUACUACCUCUUACUAUUUUCCGUUCUCAUGUUGGGAACUUUAAACGUUACUGCAACGGAUGGGCAUGCAUCCCAUUACCUACAUGGGAUGGUAACCGCUUGCCUGGGCCACUAUGGGUAGGGGGCCUGAGAGGGUGAUCCGCCCCACAGGACCUGACACCCUCACCACACUCCUACGGGAUGCCACCGUGAGGAAUAUUGGACUUUGGAACCUUAUCCGAACCAACCCUGCGACGUGGGUGAAGACCGCCCUCUGGGUUGUAAACUGCUUUUGUUUGGGAAUAAACCCCUCCUCAAGCAGGACGGGUGAAGGUACCAAAAAAAUAACCACCGGCUAACUCCGUGCCUCUCUGGAUGUUAAUACUGAGGGAGGAUCCGUUAUCCGGAAUCAUUGAGAUCAAAUGCUCCACAGGCUGUCUUAUCCCUCAGUGGUUCAAUCCUAUUUCAUACCUGUAAAACUGCCAUUGAUACUGUAGGGCUAGCAUUCUGUCUCAGAAAGCGGAAGCUGUCAUGUACCACUGACAUGCUUACAUCUGAUCCAGCACGCACUACCCGAGUGUCUCUCCCUGUUUGCUCAUUACGGCUCUCGACUGAGUCUUGGUAUCUGUACAGGGGUACGCAUUCUGCACCGUGUAUUCCUUCAGAUAUCUAUACACUACACUGCUACAUCUGAAAUUCUGUCUACGUCUACAGUGACUCUUGACUGCCCAUGUUGAGUGCUAUUUGCGAGUGAGCUCAGGGCUAUUCGCUCUGACUCACAAAGCAGCUGCAUGAUGCUGUAUGCCUAGUAAGAUACGACUAGCGCUCUCACCCUGCGUAUUAUCCCGACUGCAUAGUUACGGAAUAAGACUGGGCUUCUUAUGGUCCUAACGUCGAGUCAUGCACUCAUACCUACUACCUCUCACGACGUUAAGUGCCUUCAAACCGAGGCUAUCUACUCGGCAUGGGGUGCACUAGAUGCCAGUGCCAAUUCCACGUAUGACUCCGUAGAAGACUGGGUACG